ACACCAGACAGUCACCAUAAAAGUGUUCAAACUUCACUAUCUGCACUUCAAACCCUCCCUCAGAUAAGACUCAGUCUCAAAUCAGAGCGCUGCAUUCAACAUCUACUUUACUGCCGGGAUCACCUGUGUUCUUUGAGAGUUGCUUCUGAAUUGUGAAUUUCUUCAUUGCAGUGGGGAUGGAUGACUCAAGUUUAGUAUUUACGAUCAUUGCACCUAUUGGUAUCCUUAUUUUUUUUGACGGUCUUCUUUGUUGGCUGCUGUACAAUAUUCCAGCGAGUCUGUAAGAAGCGAGAUGAGCAUGUGCAGACUCAAGUUCAAGCCGUGGAUCCGCCCUCUGUUUACGUCAUUCCGAUCUCUAUGUCCGAAGAUGAGCUGCACAGACCACCGCGCUACAGCAUUGUACAGUUCUACGAGCCGCCUCCUGCUUAUCACGAGUUGAAUCUGAAGCCCGAGGCCUGUCCUGUGGAAGCCCCUCCAGCAUAUUCUGAAUCCAUCUCUCCUUCACCCUCACAUUCAUGAUUAUGAGCACAUCUCAAACACUUGGACUGGCUAAAGGAAAAAUAAGAAUCAUAUUCUCAUGACUUUUCCAAGGACUACUACUCAUGCUAUCUAUAUACAUGCAAAGGUUUAAGUGGUGAGAAAGAAAAUGUCACAAAGUCACAAAGAAAGACUGUUUUGCACAAUGAGCAGCAGAACUUGGUUAAAGGUUUAAAAGUAUAUGUUUUUGUUUUGUGAAUAUUUAUCAAUUGUGUACAUGCUAUAGCUUAACCUUUUUUCUUAACUUUGUGAAAUGUGUUCAUUUAUAAUAAAUGUUGUAAAUGGUUGACCUGUUAUAAAUUGUACAGCUGAAACUGUAUUAUUAAAAUAAUGUUGUAUGAACACUGGCUCUUAAUAAUAACCUUUGAGAAUAUUUUAUUGGUAUUGAGAGAUAAGAAACGAUGUGUCGUUUAAGCCAUCUUUUUUCCUGUCACCCUUCAUAGUCAUCAUGCCUCCUGAGCUGCACCCUCAGGAACCAAAGUUCAGCGCUGUGACAUCAGAGGUGAAGCUCCGCCUCCUGCAUUACCACUGCCAUUGUCCUCACAAUCCUACACAGACAUAAGCUCAUGCAUUUAUUAAAACUCAUAAAAUAUGAACCAUAUAGUUAAAACAACACCUUUGGAGAAUUCACAGCUUUGGCUAUUUAUGAGGGUGCAUUGACAG
This is a long non-coding RNA of Carassius auratus (goldfish), 1200 nucleotides long. RefSeq lists it as uncharacterized. Lineage: Eukaryota; Metazoa; Chordata; Actinopteri; Cypriniformes; Cyprinidae. The transcript has 4 exons. The record is from RefSeq and is a predicted model, not a curated record.